Molecule: ribosomal RNA, 253 nt
Filed under: uncultured bacterium
Lineage: Bacteria
Description: partial 16S ribosomal RNA
Rfam family: Bacterial small subunit ribosomal RNA
Source: RNAcentral
UACGGAGGGAGCUAGCGUUGUUCGGAAUUACUGGGCGUAAAGCGCGCGUAGGCGGCUUUGUAAGUUAGAGGUGAAAGCCCGGGGCUCAACUCCGGAACUGCCUUUAAGACUGCAUCGCUUGAAUCCGGGAGAGGUGAGUGGAAUUCCGAGUGUAGAGGUGAAAUUCGUAGAUAUUCGGAAGAACACCAGUGGCGAAGGCGACUCACUGGACCGGUAUUGACGCUGAGGUGCGAAAGCGUGGGGAGCGAACAGG